CUGAAAUCAAAGGGAGGUAUCUUACUGACUUGAAGAAAGAGGCUUUAAUCUAUGGUGGUUUGUUUACUAAUGAAGGAGCACGAAAGAGACGCGUGUCCUUGUCUCUGAAGAGGAGGUGAAGGAACAGCUAGUGCAAGGAACACACAAAUCGGUUGUGCCAGGCUAAUACGUGGUUGUAUCUGAGCUUGGAG
This is a long non-coding RNA of Oxyura jamaicensis (ruddy duck), 191 nucleotides long. RefSeq lists it as uncharacterized. The transcript has 3 exons. The record is from RefSeq and is a predicted model, not a curated record. NCBI's taxonomy places the organism in Eukaryota, Metazoa, Chordata, Aves, Anseriformes, Anatidae.